GAAAUGCUAUAAGUAAUGUGAAUUGCAGAAUUCAGUGAAUCAUCGAAUCUUUGAACGCACCUUGCGCUCCUUGUUAUUCCUUGGAGCAUGCCUGUUUGAGUAUCAUGAAAUCUUCAAAGUAAAUCUUUUGUUAACUCAAUUGGUUUCUACUUUGGUAUUGGAGGUCUUUGCAGCUUCACACCUGCUCCUCUUUGUUCAUUAGCUGGAUCUCAGUGUUAUGCUUGGUUCCACUCGGCGUGAUAAGUUAUCUAUCGCUGAGGACACUGUAAAAGGUGGCCAAGGUAAAUGCAGAUGAACCGCUUCUAAUAGUCCAUUGACUUGGACAAUACUUUUAUGAUCUGAUCUCAAAUCAGGUAGGACUACCCGCUGAACUUAAGC
RNAcentral lists this unclassified non-coding RNA (378 nucleotides) under plant metagenome. RNAcentral describes it as "partial contains 5.8S ribosomal RNA, internal transcribed spacer 2, and large subunit ribosomal RNA". The stretch from base 1 to 105 matches the Rfam family "5.8S ribosomal RNA", at positions 50 to 154 of the family's 154-position model. The record is from RNAcentral.